RNAcentral lists this transfer RNA (87 nucleotides) under Planctomycetota bacterium. Its description in RNAcentral is "tRNA-Leu". It matches the Rfam family "tRNA". From Rfam's summary of the family: Transfer RNA (tRNA) molecules are approximately 80 nucleotides in length. Their secondary structure includes four short double-helical elements and three loops (D, anti-codon, and T loops). Further hydrogen bonds mediate the characteristic L-shaped molecular structure. tRNAs have two regions of fundamental functional importance: the anti-codon, which is responsible for specific mRNA codon recognition, and the 3' end, to which the tRNAs corresponding amino acid is attached (by aminoacyl-tRNA synthetases). tRNAs cope with the degeneracy of the genetic code in two manners: having more than one tRNA (with a specific anti-codon) for a particular amino acid; and 'wobble' base-pairing, i.e. permitting non-standard base-pairing at the 3rd anti-codon position. Lineage: Bacteria; Pseudomonadati; Planctomycetota. The record is from RNAcentral.
GGGCGAGUGGCGGAACGGCAGACGCUGGGGACUUAAAAUCCCCUCGGGCGGUGCCCGGUGUGGGUUCGACUCCCACCUCGCCCACCA